Molecule: long non-coding RNA, 1005 nt
Organism: Lepidothrix coronata (blue-crowned manakin)
Lineage: Eukaryota; Metazoa; Chordata; Aves; Passeriformes; Pipridae
Exons: 5
Source: RefSeq, a predicted model, not a curated record
UUCCAGACCAAGAAUACCAUAAUGAAAUCCAAAUGACCACACUGCUAACUUUGAAAACAUCAGGGCUAGCAAGUCAGUCUUUGCGAAGCAAGUUGGUAGCCUCAACACAUUUCUCAAGGUGAGCCAGAGGAUGUUUGCGUGAGUGGAAGCGCUCUCAGGGUGAGGAGAGAAGCAGAUGGGCUGACAUGGUGGAGCGAGGGCAGCUCCAGCCUGCGUUUGGGGAGAGUGUGCAGAAAAAUGGCUGACAUCUCCCUGCUGGCGAACGCAUGAUGGGCGUCCUCCUCUGCAAUUUGGCUCUUGAAAACGGGAAACAAGAUGUAGAAAAUUGCCAGAUGUCUUCAGCUCAGCGCUGGAUGCCUUUCCAAUAGACAAAUACAAGCGAUUAACUUCACAGAAUGUCUGUGAGUUGAAAUUCAGACAAAGAUAAAAUGAUACAUUCUGGCCUUCAGAACUCAAAGCAUUGGAGAUGGGGACCCUGGACAUAAGCUUGUUUGCAGUAUGUGUAAAAAAGGCUUUCAUAACUGGAAUUAGAUGAGAAGAAUUAUGCCAGGAUACCUCUGGCCACCCUCAAAGCAUCCUUGUAAAUUCAGUCACAAGCAUAAGCAGCUUCAUUCUGUCCAAAGAAUUAGCAUUUUUUUAAGUGCUCAUUUUCCAAGUAUUCUUACUAAUACUUUAAUGGCUGUUGUAUACCCCAGUGCUGUGGAGCUGACUGAUGUGUCUUGCUGUGUUUCAGCGAAUGUUGUGAGGAAUCUACAGCAAUUAGCUGCUCAUGCCUCUGCUUUCCUGUUUUGUGCCUUCCCUUUCAUGUAUCAGAUGUUUGUAAGUUUUCCAUUAGACAUUUCCUGCUUCUAAUAGAUGUUUGUGAGGCUUUUGCUUUGAGCUAUCAGGGCUCCAAUUUGUGCUGAGAUGUUUGGUUUUGUUUUAGGGUUGAGAGGUCUUUGUACUCCUUUCUUCCUAGAAAACAUUAUAAUCUGGAAAAAAUAAAUAAAUUGUACUUUGCAAAAA